UGUAUUUACGUUCAACAAGAAGGAGACGAGAGUUUUUGGUUGACUGAUUUUUAAUUUCGAUUUUUCAAAAAACUCGAUAUAAUUUUCUUCUCAAUACAAGCAAAUUAAUAAAUCUUAAAAAUAUGGUUUUCGUAGUGAUUAAGUUUUUCAACUUAAGAUUUAAAAGUAAACAAAAAAUUUAAAUUUUAUUUGAAAACUUACAAAUGACUAUAAAUUGCAUUAUUUUGUAAUCUGACGUUUCACCAUCAUGCAAAUUACUGUGUGUCGAUAAUGAUGGGGGUGUACUCUAUACGUUAAAGAUUUUGAUGCUUGAAUUACAUUCGUGUGGAAAAUAAAUUUUACUGGGACUGAAAACUUUCAAUUUGUUUAAUUAUAAGAUUUUGUUGAGAUAAAUAAAAUAAUAAAUUUUAGGAUA
Molecule: long non-coding RNA, 415 nt
Organism: Eupeodes corollae
Lineage: Eukaryota; Metazoa; Arthropoda; Insecta; Diptera; Syrphidae
Exons: 3
Source: RefSeq, a predicted model, not a curated record